RNAcentral lists this ribosomal RNA (253 nucleotides) under uncultured bacterium. Its description in RNAcentral is "partial 16S ribosomal RNA". It matches the Rfam family "Bacterial small subunit ribosomal RNA", at positions 524 to 776 of the family's 1533-position model. The record is from RNAcentral.
UACGUGGGGGGCAAGCGUUGUCCGGAAUCAUUGGGCGUAAAGAGCGCGUAGGCGGCCCUGUAAGUCCGCUGUGAAAGUCAAGGGCUCAACCCUUGAAUGCCGGUGGAUACUGCAGGGCUAGAGUCCGGAAGAGGCGAGUGGAAUUCCUGGUGUAGCGGUGAAAUGCGCAGAUAUCAGGAGGAACACCGAUGGCGAAGGCAGCUCGCUGGGACGGUGCUGACGCUGAGGCGCGAAAGCGUGGGGAGCAAACAGG